AACCUUCUCGUAAUCCACUAAUCAAAUCGGGAGCAUCUGAAAACUGCUACCAGCCAAAGUAAAAUGACAGGAGCUGAACACUGCCCCGAGAAUGCAACAGAACUUCAGCUCUGUCCCAAGGUCGUCAGCCACAGCUCCAAGUUUCUUAGCAUCAGCUUUUUCUGAACAAAAUAGUGCAUCCUGCUGGAAUCACUACUGUAAACUGAGUAUAAAGGAAAAUAAACCCUCUUUUUCUUA
This 237-nucleotide long non-coding RNA is filed under the name Homo sapiens (human). RNAcentral describes it as "non-protein coding PPP4R1-AS1:5". Lineage: Eukaryota; Metazoa; Chordata; Mammalia; Primates; Hominidae. The record is from RNAcentral.